Molecule: ribosomal RNA, 440 nt
Filed under: uncultured bacterium
Lineage: Bacteria
Description: partial 16S ribosomal RNA
Rfam family: Bacterial small subunit ribosomal RNA
Source: RNAcentral
CCUACGGGUGGCAGCAGUGGGGAAUAUUGCACAAUGGGGGAAACGCUGAUGCAGCGACGCCGCGUGAGGGAAGGAGUAUUACGGGAGGUAAAGCUCUAUCAGCAGGGAAGAAAAUGACGGUACCUGAUUAAGAAGAGCCGGCUAACUACGUCCCAGAAGCCGAGGUACUACGUAGGGGGCAAGCGUUAUCCGGAUUUACUGGGUGUAAAGGGAGCGUAGACGGCAGAACAGUGCUGGAGUGAAAUGCCGCGGCCUAACGCCGGAACUGCUUUGGAAACUGUGCAGCUAGAGUGCAGGUGAGGUAGGUGGAAUGCCUAGUGUAGCGGUGAAAUGCGUAGAUAUUAGACGGAACACCAGUUGCGAAGGCGUCUUACGGGACUGUAACUGACGUUGAGGCUCGAAAGCGUGGGGAGCAAACAGGAUUAGAUACCCUAGUAGUC